GAACAUGCCAUGAAGAACUUUCUGAAAGGAAUCACUAAUUGACAAAGACCAACAUACUAGCGUACAACUUCUUACUAAUAAGAAACACUGCUUACUAUCAAGAAAAACAGACUACUUUACAUUUAGGCCAGCAACAAUCAAAUUAAUUAUGCAACCCUUUUGUUGUCAAACUGAAACUUGCACUUAGAAUUGCUAGAGCAAGGAGGUCUUCUGACAGAUCAAGCACCUUUGAGUGAGCCGACACCACAGAAGUAAAGGUGUCAAUGACCUUCAUCAAGCAAACUUGGCAUACUAGUUUAAUCCCCAAAACAAAAUGAACCAAAAUCACAACGAUCUGAAAAAACACUCUAACCGUUUAAAUACGAAGGACUUUUUUUGUUAAAAAAUAGCACAUGAAUCAAAUUAAUGCACAUAAGAAAGAGAUGAUUAAAAAUUAUGAGUUCUUUCUCUGUUCUAACUCAGAGUACAAGAAAAUAUGUACCACAACAACAUUUCAUCUGUAAAAACUGUCAAGCAAGUACCAUGGUAUUACUAUGGAACUUAGCAACUGAUCGACAAUUUCAAUCCUUCCCAUUCAUGGUAUUACAUCUAUACUCAUUCAAACAUUAAUUGCAUUCUAACCUAUGCCGAAUUCAUACAGUAUUUACACCUAUACUCCUGAUUAAUACCAAGAAAGAUAGUAUGACUUCAUCAGUACACAUAGAGUUAAUUAUUCAUUCCCC
Molecule: long non-coding RNA, 722 nt
Filed under: Setaria viridis
Lineage: Eukaryota; Viridiplantae; Streptophyta; Magnoliopsida; Poales; Poaceae
Description: long non-coding RNA (SVIR_LNC005158)
Source: RNAcentral